RNAcentral lists this ribosomal RNA (506 nucleotides) under uncultured bacterium. Its description in RNAcentral is "bacterial SSU rRNA". It matches the Rfam family "Bacterial small subunit ribosomal RNA", at positions 28 to 524 of the family's 1533-position model. The record is from RNAcentral.
GACGAACGCUGGCGGCGUGGAUUAGGCAUGCAAGUCGAACGGUAUCAUCCUUUCGGGGGUGAGAGAGUGGCGAACUGGUGAGUAACACGUAGGUUAUCUACCCUCAAGACGGGGACGAACCCAGGGAAACUUAGGGCUAAUACCGGAUGUGAGCAACUUUUAGUUGUUUGAAAGGUGGCGUAAGCUGUCGCUUGGGGAUGAGCCUGCGUCCUAUUAGUUAGUUGGUGAGGUAACGGCUCACCUAGGCAAUGAUAGGUAGGCGGCCUUAACGGGUGGUCGCCCACACUGGGAUUGAGAUACGGCCCAGACUCCUACGGGAGGCAGCAGUCGAGAAUAGUCUACAAUGGUCGGAAGACUGAUAGUGCGACGCCGCGUGAACGAUGAAUCCCUUCGGGGUGUAAAGUUCUUUUAUAUGUGAGCAGUGCUUCUUAUAUUAACAGUAUGGGGAGAGAGAUAUUAGCAUAUGAAUAAGCAACGGCUAACUCCGUGCCAGCAGCCGCGGUAAA